Molecule: ribosomal RNA, 1357 nt
Filed under: Salmonella enterica
Lineage: Bacteria; Pseudomonadati; Pseudomonadota; Gammaproteobacteria; Enterobacterales; Enterobacteriaceae
Also listed under: 2 other names
Description: partial 23S ribosomal RNA
Rfam family: Bacterial large subunit ribosomal RNA
Source: RNAcentral
GGGGGACGGAGAAGGCUAUGUUGGCCGGGCGACGGUUGUCCCGGUUUAAGCGUGUAGGUGUGUGUUCCAGGUAAAUCCGGUUCACUUUAACACUGAGGCGUGAUGACGAGGCACUACGGUGCUGAAGCAACAAAUGCCCUGCUUCCAGGAAAAGCCUCUAAGCAUCAGGUAACAUCAAAUCGUACCCCAAACCGACACAGGUGGUCAGGUAGAGAAUACCAAGGCGCUUGAGAGAACUCGGGUGAAGGAACUAGGCAAAAUGGUGCCGUAACUUCGGGAGAAGGCACGCUGACACGUAGGUGAAGUGAUUUACUCAUGGAGCUGAAGUCAGUCGAAGAUACCAGCUGGCUGCAACUGUUUAUUAAAAACACAGCACUGUGCAAACACGAAAGUGGACGUAUACGGUGUGACGCCUGCCCGGUGCCGGAAGGUUAAUUGAUGGGGUCAGCGCAAGCGAAGCUCCUGAUCGAAGCCCCGGUAAACGGCGGCCGUAACUAUAACGGUCCUAAGGUAGCGAAAUUCCUUGUCGGGUAAGUUCCGACCUGCACGAAUGGCGUAAUGAUGGCCAGGCUGUCUCCACCCGAGACUCAGUGAAAUUGAACUCGCUGUGAAGAUGCAGUGUACCCGCGGCAAGACGGAAAGACCCCGUGAACCUUUACUAUAGCUUGACACUGAACAUUGAGCCUUGAUGUGUAGGAUAGGUGGGAGGCUUUGAAGCGUGGACGCCAGUCUGCGUGGAGCCGACCUUGAAAUACCACCCUUUAAUGUUUGAUGUUCUAACGUGGACCCGUAAUCCGGGUUGCGGACAGUGUCUGGUGGGUAGUUUGACUGGGGCGGUCUCCUCCUAAAGAGUAACGGAGGAGCACGAAGGUUGGCUAAUCCUGGUCGGACAUCAGGAGGUUAGUGCAAUGGCAUAAGCCAGCUUGACUGCGAGCGUGACGGCGCGAGCAGGUGCGAAAGCAGGUCAUAGUGAUCCGGUGGUUCUGAAUGGAAGGGCCAUCGCUCAACGGAUAAAAGGUACUCCGGGGAUAACAGGCUGAUACCGCCCAAGAGUUCAUAUCGACGGCGGUGUUUGGCACCUCGAUGUCGGCUCAUCACAUCCUGGGGCUGAAGUAGGUCCCAAGGGUAUGGCUGUUCGCCAUUUAAAGUGGUACGCGAGCUGGGUUUAGAACGUCGUGAGACAGUUCGGUCCCUAUCUGCCGUGGGCGCUGGAGAACUGAGGGGGGCUGCUCCUAGUACGAGAGGACCGGAGUGGACGCAUCACUGGUGUUCGGGUUGUCAUGCCAAUGGCACUGCCCGGUAGCUAAAUGCGGAAGAGAUAAGUGCUGAAAGCAUCUAAGCACGAAACUUGCCCCGA